UAACCAAAUGUGACUUUUUCAUUUUACUAACAACUACAUACUUUCUCCAUUUCUCUCUUUCGUUGAGGUGAAUAAAAUGAGAACACUUAGAAACUUUACAAAACUGAAAGAAAAAAAAACUUUCUUCAUUUCACUUUCUCAUAACAAAAUAAAAACAAAGAAAAAAAGGAAAAGCUGUUACCUUUCAUGAUCUUUAGCAUAAACUUCUAUCUUU
This 214-nucleotide long non-coding RNA is filed under the name Lathyrus oleraceus (garden pea). RNAcentral's name for it is "Pisum sativum (pea) long non-coding RNA (PSAT_LNC030763)". Lineage: Eukaryota; Viridiplantae; Streptophyta; Magnoliopsida; Fabales; Fabaceae. The record is from RNAcentral.